RNAcentral lists this ribosomal RNA (301 nucleotides) under uncultured bacterium. Its description in RNAcentral is "partial 16S ribosomal RNA". It matches the Rfam family "Bacterial small subunit ribosomal RNA", at positions 509 to 809 of the family's 1533-position model. The record is from RNAcentral.
CAGUAGCCGCGGGAAUACGUAGGUGGCGAGUGUUGUCCGGAAUUAUUGGGCGUAAAGGGAGCGCAGGCGGACAUAUAAGUCCAUCUUAAAAGUGCGGGGCUCAACCCCGUGAGGGGAUGGAAACUGUAUGCCUUGAGUGCAGGAGAGGAAAGCGGAAUUCCCAGUGUAGCGGUGAAAUGCGUAGAUAUUGGGAGGAACACCAGUGGCGAAGGCGGCUUUCUGGACUGUAACUGACGCUGAGGCUCGAAAGCCAGGGGAGCGAACGGGAUUAGAGACCCGUGUAGUCCCUGUCUCUUAUACA